GACGAACGCUGGCGGCGUGCUUAACACAUGCAAGUCGAACGAAGAGCGAUGGAAGCUUGCUUCUAUCAAUCUUAGUGGCGAACGGGUGAGUAACGCGUAAUCAACCUGCCCUUCAGAGGGGGACAACAGUUGGAAACGACUGCUAAUACCGCAUACGAUCUAAUCUCGGCAUCGAGGAUAGAUGAAAGGUGGCCUCAACAUGUAAGCUAUCACUGAAGGAGGGGAUUGCGUCUGAUUAGCUAGUUGGAGGGGUAACGGCCCACCAAGGCGAUGAUCAGUAGCCGGUCUGAGAGGAUGAACGGCCACAUUGGGACUGAGACACGGCCCAGACUCCUACGGGAGGCAGCAGUGGGGAAUCUUCCGCAAUGGACGAAAGUCUGACGGAGCAACGCCGCGUGAGUGAUGACGGCCUUCGGGUUGUAAAGCUCUGUUAAUCGGGACGAAAGGCCUUCUUGCGAAU
This 460-nucleotide ribosomal RNA is filed under the name Veillonella parvula. RNAcentral describes it as "bacterial SSU rRNA". It matches the Rfam family "Bacterial small subunit ribosomal RNA", at positions 28 to 465 of the family's 1533-position model. Lineage: Bacteria; Bacillati; Bacillota; Negativicutes; Veillonellales; Veillonellaceae. The record is from RNAcentral.